Molecule: ribosomal RNA, 400 nt
Filed under: uncultured bacterium
Lineage: Bacteria
Description: bacterial SSU rRNA
Rfam family: Bacterial small subunit ribosomal RNA
Source: RNAcentral
UCGAGAAUCUUCCGCAAUGGGCGCAAGCCUGACGGAGCGACGCCGCGUGAUUGAUGAAGUCCCUCUGGGACGUAAAAAUCUUUUAUGAGGGAGAAAGUUUAUUGAUAGUACCUCAUGAAUAAGGGGUUGCUAAACUCGUGCCAGCAGCAGCGGUAAUACGAGUGCCCCGAGCGUUAUCCGGAAUCAUUGGGCGUAAAGGGUGUGUAGGUGGUUAUGUUAGUCUUUUGUAAAAUCCCGGGGCUCAACUUCGGAACUGUGAAAGAAACGGCAUAACUUGAGGGUGCGAGGGGUCUGUGGAACUCAUGGAGUAGGGGUGAAAUCCGUUGAUAUCAUGGGGAACACCAAAAGCGAAGGCAGCAGACUGGCACAUUCCUGACACUGAAACACGAAAGCGUGGGUA